RNAcentral lists this ribosomal RNA (639 nucleotides) under uncultured marine eukaryote. RNAcentral's name for it is "SSU rRNA". It matches the Rfam family "Eukaryotic small subunit ribosomal RNA", at positions 613 to 1255 of the family's 1831-position model. The record is from RNAcentral.
UUGCGGUUAAAAAGCUCGUAGUUGGAUUUCUGCUGAGGACGACCGGUCCGCCCACUGGGUGAGUAUCUGGCUCGGCCUUGGCAUCUUCUUGGAGAACGUAUCUGCACUUGACUGUGUGGUGCGGUAACCAGGACCUUUACUUUGAGGAAAUUAGAGUGUUUCAAGCAGGCGUGCGCCUUGAAUACAUUAGCAUGGAAUAAUAAGAUAGGACCUUAGCUCUAUUUUGUUGGUUUCUAGAGCUGGGGUAAAGAUUAAUAGGGAUAGUUGGGGGCAUUCGUAUUUAACUGUCAGAGGUGAAAUUCUUGGAUUUGUCAAAGACGGACUACUGCGAAAGCAUUUGCCAAGGAUGUUUUCAUUGAUCAAGAACGAAAGUUAGGGGAUCGAAGACGAUCAGAUACCGUCCUAGUCUUAACCAUAAACCAUGCCGACUAGAGAUUGGAGGCCGUUACCUGUACGACUCCUUCAGCACCUUAUGAGAAAUCAAAGUCUUUGGGUUCCGGGGGGAGUAUGGUCGCAAGGCUGAAACUUAAAGGAAUUGACGGAAGGGCACCACCAGGAAUGGAGCCUGCGGCUUAAUUUGACUCAACACGGGGAAAACUUACCAGGUCCAGACAUAGUGAGGACUGACAGAUUGAGAGU